GGCAGCUGAUUACUGCGGCGACAUCUCUGGAGAUCAGCAUUGGAGCUGAACAUGGAAUUGGCAAAUCCUCUUAUGUCACUUUCAGUUGACAUUGAAGGUAGCCCAAGCCAGACUAGGACCUUUCUUUCAUUUCCGCAGAGGGCUGCUACCCCAGCGCUCCAUUCACAUUCAGGAAUAAGCUUUCGUGUGCCGCCAUGCUCCAUUGCAUUGGAAGUGUACAAGCGUGGAGGUCUCAAGGAUUCCUGUGCUGAGAAGAGCCACAUAUGGCAUCAGGGAGCUUUUCGGUUUUGGCUUUAAACAAAUCUGCUUGAAGGAGCUGGUGCAACAUUCCUGUAAGCCUUAGAUCAUACCCAACAUGUUUAUUUGUAUAAGCAGCUCACCUAGGAUCUACAAGCAAGAUUGCAUCUCCAUAAUCUCUGCUGCAAAAGAUUCUUCCAGCGGCAUCUGGUGGACCACUGUGUGAAACAGGAUGCUGGACUAGAUGGGCCUUGGGUCUGAUCCAGCAGGGAUGUUCUUAUAUUCUCAUGUUCUUAUUCUGUAAAUUGCUGAACUAGUACAGGACUGUGACCAAGGGCAACAGGGUGUGUGUGUGUGUGUGUGUGUGUGUGUGUGAAGAUAUUGCCAUGUGCACCCCUGAAGGUUUGAUUCAGAGGGGCUGGCGCAGCCAUGGAUGCGAGUUCCACUGCCCAAUCAAGACUGAACCCCCCGCCCCUUAAGUUGAAGUGGGUUAUACAAGCAUGGCUCCCACACUAAAGGAGUAUGAGAAAACAAACACUCAGGCAAAUAGAUAUGGGUAAAGCGGCUACAAUUUUAUUAAACAAUAUUUGAAUGAAAUAACGAUUAAAAAAAUGACAGAAUGGAGCAAGCACCCCGCCCCACCCCCCACACACAAACCAGGCCAAUCUUUUAGGAAGCAAAAACAAUCCUGCUUAGACCACUGUGGGGUGACCAGCGAUGGGAGGGAGGGAUGCUGAAGACUGUGCUAAGUGAGGCACAAAACAGGGACCUGUGCUAGCAGCUUCUGCAAAGCCAUGCCUUUAAACUGGGCCUGACCUGAAACCUCUGUUCCCUCUAAGGCAUGCACAUGUGUGCCUACUCACAAGUUUUUGAUUGUCCACUCAGUUAAUUUUAGAUCCCACUCACGUUGAAUCAGGAAGGCCCCACACUGAAUGUAUGUGCGCACACACUGCCUUGAAACUGCCACCCAGAACAAAACUGAUUCCACACACAAAUGGAAAAAAAAUAGGGGGACCACUGCCUGAAAUCCCACCCACUGUGUCAUGCCAGCUUCAAAGACCAGAUAGAGCAAGGCUGCCUCCUUCUCUCAGCAUGAGGCUGGGGACAUGGCAUUUGACUGCAAAGAGCUUCACAAAGAUUUCGCCAAACUGGGAAACUGGCAAAUGAGAAAGUGUUAAAUGAUGCACAUUGGGCAUAUUGGUAAGUCGUUUGCCAUUUACCCAGUUUGAAGUGAUCCAAAUUGGAAAUCUUUGCCAUCCACCUGGAUUUUUACUAUGCUAAUUUUACAUAUAGCAGAAUCUAAACUGGCUGUGACAAACCUAGAAAGAAAUCUUGGGACUCAAAAGAUCAAGUGAUGUAAACAUCAGUGAUGAAAAGGGCACAUUCCAUGUUAGCAAUGACUGGGAAAGGCAUGGACAUGAAAUGGCCAGUAUCACAGUGCCUUAUAUAACCCUAUGGUGCAUGACUGAAACACAGCAUAUAGCUCUGCUCACCCCAUUUAAACAAUAAAAAAAGAUAUUGCAGAGCUAGAAUUAGUUUUUGUUUGUUUGUUUUUUUAAAAGGUCAAUCAAAAGUGUGGAAUGGUUCGUACCUUCCUACAAGGAAAAAUGAAAGCUGCCGAGCCUUUUUAGUUCACUAAAAAAUACAACUAAGCUGGGGAUAUGUUAGAAGUUUCUAAAAUUAUGCAUGGCUUGAUAGAGAGAUUGUAUCUCUCACUCACAUAACAUUAGACAUUGCUUUCACCCUUCCUUGACACUCUUCAUAAAAUACUAUUAUUAAGCUACCAAUUUAAAUUAAUAUAAACUUAACUAAGCACAUAUUCCACCUUCUAGUAAUAUAAUAAAGACACCUCUUUCAUUUUAUUUUUUUAGCUAUAGCACACUACAGAAGUACUCAUAGAUGUCCUUCAUUUGGCAGAGAUAAUUAGUUUCCGUUAAAGUAACUGAACAACUCUUUGCCUUCAAAGAGGACAUUAUAUUUGCCUAAUUGCAUUUGAGGGCUAAACAUUGUAAAGGAUAAUGUUUCCUGAGAAUGACUUCUCUCUUGUCUGUUCACCUAGGAGGAGGUUCACUCACUGCCUAAAAUAAGGGUCAAUAGGAAUUGACAAGUCAUUUGAAUAAAUGAUCACAAGUUCACAAACGGUUGAACACAAACAGCCUGCUUAAUACAGUGGGCAUUGUUAUUACUUUUCUUAAAUAACCAUGCUGUGAGAGCUCUACUGACUCUUGAAAUCUGCCACAAACCCCAAGACAAGCUUUUGAAUAAGAAGGGCAUCUGUGCUCUACAACUUUAUGUAGGACUGCUAGCUGAACAGAAAAAAGGAAGGAAAAAAGAGCCAGCUUAUUUGAUCCCUUUCCUUUUGGGGAUUUUUGUUGUUGUUAUAUACCUUACUUUUUACCCUAGGCACUGCUUGGCUUUACCCCCAGAUAUCAGAAUUCCAAGAGCUGAAAGAGGACCCUACUUUUAGGUGCUGUAGUCUUCAAAGAUGAUCCAGUGCUGGAACAUCCAAUUAUAAUUCAUCCUUAUACCUGAAUCUUCAUUCCUUCUGUACCAUGAAAUGCACCCUGCCCUAGGAAUUGAUCAGUUUUUUCUCUGUGUUAGAAUGAAGCUAGCAUGUUUCCCCCACUUACUCCUUCAGUUUCUUUAUUUGUCUUCCAAGCAAUUAACUCAACAAAAAUAGGCAUAACCAAAUUAAAAGAGUUCUAAACGGACACUGGUCUGAACAGCUAUUGUUUGUGUAUGCCAGAGGUGCAACUGGUCCUGGAAAAGAACUCUUAGUAUAAUUCAUCCUAAAUAAAGCACCAGCCUCAUAGACUUUGACACUUGACAUUUGACCAGCCUCAUAGACAAGGCAUUUACUGGGAUGGAAGUCACAUCAGUAUUUUUGUUUUCUUUUGACUUUAUUUCAGCAUUAAUUACAGAGGAGAUCCCAUUGGCUUGCCUAGACACUUCUAUUUAAGCUGCAGCAAUUUCUUUUUUAUAGAGUCAGGCUACCAAUGCACAGUUCCGCCUUCCUUUUAAUUUUUAGCUAAGCAAACAUCAAAACAGUGGAUGAAACUGAUGGAGAGCUUAAUUGUAUCAAUCCAUCAAGCCCUAAAUUUGCUUCCUUUCAGAAUUCGCCUUUAAAUCCAAGUGGUGUGAUGGCAAGACACCAAGUUUAAAAUUCUCCAACUGUCAAAUGCUGUUUUACUAAUUAUCUGGCUUCCAAGGCAAUCAUACAACCGUAAUCAUUCACCUCAUGCCUGGAAACAUAAGUCUUGUUCUUUUGAUGAAUAUUUAUAAGACAGUGUAAAGCAGUCUACUUUCUUUUCCCUUUAGGCAAGACAAUUUGGAGUUCAUCAAUAUGUAUUACCAAGGACUUUUAUAAAAGGCACUUCAAAGGAAAUUCAUCAGGCAUUCCUUUUGUCUUGAUUUCUGUUAGACUGAUACUUCCUUUUGACAAGUAUCAAUAAAUUAUCCUCUGAUGGCCAGAAACUUGAUGUCUUAUUCAGAAACUUCCUCACACAGCAUGAUUUGGUAUUCACUUUCCCAAGGAAUUAUGAGCAUCUGCCCACUCGCAUAACAUGGAGAAUGCAGUGCUAAUAUGAAGGACAAUAGAACUAAUCUUUCAACUGUGCAUGGAUGCCACACAUUGAAGCUUGGGCAGCCCUUGCUUGUGUGAAGCACCGGGAUCAAGAGCAAGUCCUGGCACUGCCUCCCCAGGCAGCCUGGGAUUUGUACCUGCCCUUUUGCCCAGAUACGAGGUUGUGCGCAUGCUUGGGCUGUGUGCAGCUCACAUAGACACAGAGUCAGGGACCUAGAGCAACCUCCCUGUUGGGGGGGGGGGGAAAUCCCUCAAUACACUGUGCUACUCAUGCGGUGCAUUUAGGGAUACCUGGAGCUGGGCUUCAUUUUCCAGGCCUCCAGAGAUCCACACUGCUCAGAGCAACCCGGAUCGUGUGGGUGUGUGAGCCGCGCUCCACCCAGAGGAUGACUGAUCGUCUGUGGGGGAAGGUCAAUUCAUCCCUGCCUUCCUCGCUACCUGACAUCCUCACCCCAGUAAGAGUUGUGAGAAUGACCUUAGUGUUUUCUGAGAGUUAAACAUUUUCUAUGAUUGGUAGUUUCCAUGACUUACAUUCCUUGCUACAUUUGCCACAAUAAAAAUUAUAUUAACUCCUGUAUAAAAAUUUAAAACUCAAGGACAGUAAAAACCCAAAUAAAUGACAAGCAAAUUCAAAGCGAAUCAGUGCAGGUAUAUAGUGUUGAAUGACAAAUUGUUCCUAUCCCAAAGGUUAUAUUUCCCUUCAUCGUUUGGCCCAUGAUAUAAUGAAUUAUAUUUCUGGUCAAAAGGGGUAUUGAUCUUAAUGGUAUUAAGAUAAAAUACCUCCUGUGAUAUAUAGAAGAGGGAAUCAAGAAAUAUCUAUCUGUGCUUUUUGACAUUCUAUGCGGGGUGGGGGACAGCAUUUACUUUAAAUUUAAUAAAUAAAUAUAAAUCAGAUAAAUGAAUUAAAUAAAUAAAUAAAUAAAUUUGCCAAAUAUGCAUGCAAAUUUAAUUUGAAUGAUCAUGAAACACAAUAGGUUCCUUUUGUUCACCUAAGAUCUUACCUAUUGUGUUUCCAAGCCUGAGGGAUAUUUUUGAGUUGGCUCCAAAGAUCCCUUUCUGUAUGUGUGUCUUCUGCUCAUUGUAGGGCUGUUUUAAGCUCAUGCUAGGCAUUGUGCAAGAAAAAUGUAAUGCUAUUCACAUAUGCAUGGGUGGAGAGCAAAGAGGAAAAACAGGACUCUGUGGAGCCCUAUCAGAAUCCUCUGCAUAUGGGUACUGCACCUGUGGCACAAGUGGAUCAUGCCCGGUAUAUAGAAACUAGCUUGUAAUCUGAUUUAUUAUAGGGAGAUGUUCAGGUGUGUGUAGUUUUCAGUAGGAAAAAUAAUAUCUAGGAUAGGCCUCAUGUUGCCAUAGGUAGGAAGUAAAGUAUGUGUUAACGGGGAUAGAUAAUUGAAACUCUGCAGGUUGACGCCUAUCAAUUACAUGGUGCUUAGACAGGAAAAAAAUAGUAUGCUUGAGCGCAUUAACAAGGUGUAUCAUCCUGAAUUGCCAAACUGCUGUGCUUUGAUCUCAGUUAAGCUGGCCAUUAGCCAAUUUGAAUUGAGGCCAAGUAAUUUUCUCAGUUUCCCUAUGAACAAGAAUACAAUUUUUUAAGGAACCCAUCAUUGCCUUCUGCUAGGUGAGAAAUGUGUAAUGCUAACGCUUCAGAAGUUAGUUAUCAUCAACCUUGAUUAGAGAAGUUUAACUGCCUAGCUUACAGUACUUAAUUUAUUUUUCUGUCUAAAUUUUUGCUAUACUUCAUAUGCUUUAAAAAUGCAGUGACUGUAUUCUAAUAGUAGUUGGACAAAUUAAACUUUAUAUAUCAUCAUAGUACUAGAACUCAUGAAGUGACCAGCAUGAUUUGAUUGGAAUAAAGGCAAAUGAAAAUGUA
Long non-coding RNA from Hemicordylus capensis (graceful crag lizard), 5687 nucleotides. RefSeq lists it as uncharacterized. NCBI's taxonomy places the organism in Eukaryota, Metazoa, Chordata, Lepidosauria, Squamata, Cordylidae. The record is from RefSeq and is a predicted model, not a curated record. The transcript has 2 exons.